Molecule: ribosomal RNA, 528 nt
Filed under: Gymnothorax eurostus (Abbott's moray eel)
Lineage: Eukaryota; Metazoa; Chordata; Actinopteri; Anguilliformes; Muraenidae
Description: partial 16S rRNA
Rfam family: Bacterial large subunit ribosomal RNA
Source: RNAcentral
UGUUUAACGGCCGCGGUAUUUUAACCGCGCGAAGGUAGCGUAAUCACUUGUCUUUUAAAUGGAGACCUGUAUGAAUGGCAUAACGAGGGUCUGACUGUCUCCUACGCCCAGUCAAUGAAAUUGAUCUGCCCGUGCAGAAGCGGACAUAUUUACAUAAGACGAGAAGACCCUAUGGAGCUUUAGGCAGAUGAUCAAGCAAAACAAGUCACGGCCCUUAAUACUAAAGCCAGGAAAAACAAAAGCCAAUGAUCAGAGUGCCUUCGGUUGGGGCGACCGUGGAGGAAACGAAAUCCUCCAAGUGGAAAGGGAGAACCCUUAAGCUAAGAGAGACAUCUCGAUGUAGCAGAACCUAUGACCAAAUGUGACCCAGGUUUCAACCUGAUCAACGAACCCAGUUACCCUAGGGAUAACAGCGCAAUCCUCUCCCAGAGUCCCUAUCGACGAGGGGGUUUACGACCUCGAUGUUGGAUCAGGACAUCCUAAUGGUGCAGCCGCUAUUAAGGGUUCGUUUGUUCAACGAUUAACUGG